RNAcentral lists this ribosomal RNA (497 nucleotides) under uncultured bacterium. RNAcentral's name for it is "partial 16S ribosomal RNA". It matches the Rfam family "Bacterial small subunit ribosomal RNA", at positions 28 to 507 of the family's 1533-position model. The record is from RNAcentral.
GAUGCACGCUGGCGGCGUGCCUAAUACAUGCAAGUCGAGCGAACAGACGAGGAGCUUGCUCCUCUGACGUUAGCGGCGGACGGGUGAGUAACACGUGGAUAACCUACCUAUAAGACUGGGAUAACUUCGGGAAACCGGAGCUAAUACCGGAUAAUAUAUUGAACCGCAUGGUUCAAUAGUGAAAGACGGUUUUGCUGUCACUUAUAGAUGGAUCCGCGCCGCAUUAGCUAGUUGGUAAGGUAACGGCUUACCAAGGCAACGAUGCGUAGCCGACCUGAGAGGGUGAUCGGCCACACUGGAACUGAGACACGGUCCAGACUCCUACGGGAGGCAGCAGUAGGGAAUCUUCCGCAAUGGGCGAAAGCCUGACGGAGCAACGCCGCGUGAGUGAUGAAGGUCUUCGGAUCGCAAAACUCUGUUAUUAGGGAAGAACAAAUGUGUAAGUAACUAUGCACGUCUUGACGGUACCUAAUCAGAAAGCCACGGCUAACUACGUG